AACGAACGCUGGCGGCAUGCCUAACACAUGCAAGUCGAACGAGACCUUCGGGUCUAGUGGCGCACGGGUGCGUAACGCGUGGGAACCUGCCCUUAGGUUCGGAAUAACUCCCCGAAAGGGGUGCUAAUACCGGAUAAUGUCUUCGGACCAAAGAUUUAUCGCCUUUGGAUGGGCCCGCGUUGGAUUAGCUAGUUGGUAGGGUAAAAGCCUACCAAGGCGACGAUCCAUAGCUGGUCUGAGAGGAUGAUCAGCCACACUGGGACUGAGACACGGCCCAGACUCAUACGGGAGGCAGCAGUGGGGAAUAUUGGACAAUGGGCGAAAGCCUGAUCCAGCAAUGCCGCGUGAGGGAUGAAGGCCUUAGGGGUGUAAAGCUCUGUUAACCGGGAUGAUAAUGACAGUACCGGGAGAAUAAGCGCCGGCUAACUACGUG
RNAcentral lists this ribosomal RNA (433 nucleotides) under uncultured bacterium. RNAcentral's name for it is "partial 16S ribosomal RNA". It matches the Rfam family "Bacterial small subunit ribosomal RNA", at positions 29 to 507 of the family's 1533-position model. The record is from RNAcentral.